AGCAAUUCCUUUCAUGUGAGGCAAUAAGCUCUGGUCUGCAGCUUUUGCAAUUCGGAUGAAUGAUGUGCAAAUCUGUAAUCUCGCAUGUCGAGAAGCACUUGUAGCAGGAUCCUUGACAACAAAAGGUUGUGAGGUAAGUAGCUCGAACAACUUAUUAAUGACACUGCCAACAACAUCUGGAUUAUACUUCAGAAAGGGUCCUAGUGCAUCUAAGUAGUGGCCGAGAACUUCUACAAGUGCCGGUUCAGUCCAUUUCAAAGGAAGAAGUUGUUGAAGCAGACCUUCAAACAUUCUGCACAAUGACUG
This 306-nucleotide unclassified non-coding RNA is filed under the name Hevea brasiliensis (rubber tree). Lineage: Eukaryota; Viridiplantae; Streptophyta; Magnoliopsida; Malpighiales; Euphorbiaceae. The record is from RNAcentral.